This is a non-coding RNA of Fomitopsis betulina (razor strop fungus), 102 nucleotides long. NCBI's taxonomy places the organism in Eukaryota, Fungi, Basidiomycota, Agaricomycetes, Polyporales, Fomitopsidaceae. The record is from the annotation of a GenBank genome assembly.
GGUGAGAUGGCCGAGCGGUCUAAGGCGCCAGACUAAGGCAUUUGUCAUCUUGAUUACGUAAUCUGGUCUUUCGAGGCGUGGGUUCGAAUCCCACUCUCAUCA